UGGUCAAGCGAAUAAGCGCACACGGUGGAUGCCUAGGCGGUCAGUGGCGAUGUAGGACGUGGUAGCCUGCGAAAAGUGUCGGGGAGCUGGCAACAAGCUUUGAUCCGGCAAUAUCCGAAUGGGGAAACCCACUGCUUCGGCAGUAUCUUGCAGUGAAUUCAUAGCUGCUUGAAGCGAACCCCGU
Molecule: ribosomal RNA, 184 nt
Filed under: Xanthomonas campestris pv. campestris
Lineage: Bacteria; Pseudomonadati; Pseudomonadota; Gammaproteobacteria; Lysobacterales; Lysobacteraceae
Description: partial putative 23S ribosomal RNA
Rfam family: Bacterial large subunit ribosomal RNA
Source: RNAcentral